GGCGGACGGGUGAGUAACGCGUGAGCAAUCUGCCCAUAUCUGGGGGAUAACAGUUGGAAACGACUGAUAAUACCGCAUAACAUCAUUUGAAGGCAUCUUCUUAUGAUCAAAGAUUUAUCGGAUAUGGAUGAGCUCGCGUCUGAUUAGCUUGUUGGUGAGGUAACGGCUCACCAAGGCGACGAUCAGUAGCCGACCUGAGAGGGUGAUCGGCCACAUUGGAACUGAGACACGGUCCAAACUCCUACGGGAGGCAGCAGUGGGGAAUAUUGGGCAAUGGAGGAAACUCUGACCCAGCAACGCCGCGUGAAUGAUGAAGGUCUUCGGAUUGUAAAGUUCUUUUCUAAGGGAAGAAGAAAGUGACGGUACCUUAGGAAUAAGCCUCGGCUAACUACGUGCCAGCAGCCGCGGUAAUACGUAGGAGGCAAGCGUUAUCCGGAAUGACUGGGCGUAAAGGGUGCGUAGGUGGUUUGACAAGUUGGUAGCGUAACUCCGAGGCUCAACCUCGGCACUACUACCAAAACUGUUGGACUUGAGUGCAGGAGGGGCAAAUGGAAUUCCUAGUGUAGCGGUGGAAUGCGUAGAUAUUAGGAGGAACACCAGUGGCGAAGGCGAUUUGCUGGACUGUAACUGACACUGAGGCACGAA
Molecule: ribosomal RNA, 645 nt
Filed under: uncultured bacterium
Lineage: Bacteria
Description: bacterial SSU rRNA
Rfam family: Bacterial small subunit ribosomal RNA
Source: RNAcentral